UAGUAAAACAAAUCAAAUACAAAGACUAUACAUUACCUGCAUUCAUAAAAAAGUUGGUUAUAGAUUUACCCUAUAAAAGAUCUCAUGGAUAUGUUUAAAAUUUAAAAUAAACCACAUAAAAGUACAAUGAAGGUCUUGGCUAUAUUUAAUUGAUAUAUUUUAAUUUAUGUGACAAUUUAUAUAUUUAUUUUAUAAAACAUAUGAUAGUGACAAUAAUUUUAUAAACCGGGUUAUACCUAUAAUUACCUGGUAGUCGAAUCCUUGGUUGUAUUUCUUAAAAAAAGUAGACGAGCUUACUAGACAUGCUCAAGUCCUGCCAAGUACUUUACCCUGGGUUAAAAAAUGUAAAAAUUCUAAGGAUAACAUAAAAGCAACACCAAAUGAUUAUCACCUUUAAAUUGUUGGUUUCUGAUCGGAAUUUACAACAUACCCUAUGAUAUUUUAACAGAGAGAAUAAUGACGGAUGUACAUUGGGGAAAGCUCAGUUCACAAAUAUUUACAAUUUCUAAGAGUUGUAAACAAAUAAACCUGCUAAGAAAAUAAUAUCAAACUCAAUUACUUUAAUAAAAUGUGUUCAUCUCAUGAUUUUUACAUUAUAAUAACUUCAUAAAUCCAACAAAUCAAAAAUGUUUUAUUUCCUUCAAAUAAAUAAAUACCUAGAUAUUUCUUAAUUAUGAACUAAUACGUGGAUUUUCAGUUUCAAAUAAUUCCAUUCAUUCCAUUCCUAUGUCGUUUUAUUUAUUUGGUUUUCCCACUCUAUGCGUUCGGUCUUGUACCUACCUAAGAUAUACAUAGGUACCUAGGCACAGGUGCGUCAACGCUGUUUUCAUUGUAGGUAGGUAGGUUAGGUAGCCGUGUGUAAUAUGAUUAUGAUUUUAUUUCAUGCAAAUCAAAUGUAAACUUAUCUAAACUGGAUUUAAGGCGAGGCUUAAUGAUGAUGACGAUAACGACGAAAAUAUUUUACGAUCAGCCACGACGCCAUAUCGCCGCCGGCCACCGCCGCCACCACCACUGUGCCGUGUCGGGAUGGGAGAUGAGAGGUAGAAGACCGAAUUCGUUUGACUUUAGUUUGUUGGUUAUUUGUUUUUUUUUGUUAUUUUAUUUUGCAACGAUACGUGUAAUGGAAAUGCACAAUUAUAUAGUUUUUGCCAAUUUCGGGAAAAAAGUUAAUGCUGCUUUUAUUUGAAAAAAAAAAUACCUACAAAAAUUAAACAAAAUGCAUUUGAAUUUAAAUUCAUUUUAAAAUCAUUUUCGUACGAAAAGAAUAUU
Eupeodes corollae is the source of this 1269-nucleotide long non-coding RNA. RefSeq lists it as uncharacterized. The transcript is spliced from 3 exons. The record is from RefSeq and is a predicted model, not a curated record. NCBI's taxonomy places the organism in Eukaryota, Metazoa, Arthropoda, Insecta, Diptera, Syrphidae.